CCUACGGGUGGCAGCAGUGGGGAAUAUUGCACAAUGGGGGAAACCCUGAUGCAGCGACGCCGCGUGAGUGAAGAAGGAUUUCGGUAUGUAAAGCUCUAUCAGUAGGGAAGAAGCAAGAGGGUACCUGACUCAGAAGCCCCGGCUAACUACGUGCCAGCAGCCGCGGUAAGACGUAGGGGGCAAGCGUUAUCCGGAUUUACUGGGUGUAAAGGGAGCGUAGACGGGAUGGCAAGUCUGAAGUGAAAGCCCAGGGCUUAACCCUGGAACUGCGUUUGAAACUGUUAGACUAGAGUGCAGGAGAGGUAAGUGGAAUUCCUAGUGUAGCGGUGAAAUGCGUAGAUAUUAAGAGGAACACCAGUGGCGAAGGCGGCUUACUAGACAGUAACUGACGUUGAUGCUCGAAAGCGUGGGGAGCAAACAGGAUUAGAUACCCCAGUAGUC
RNAcentral lists this ribosomal RNA (441 nucleotides) under uncultured bacterium. RNAcentral's name for it is "partial 16S ribosomal RNA". It matches the Rfam family "Bacterial small subunit ribosomal RNA", at positions 338 to 795 of the family's 1533-position model. The record is from RNAcentral.